UACGGAGGAUGCGAGCGUUAUCCGGAUUUAUUGGGUUUAAAGGGUGCGCAGGCGGCGUGUCAAGUCAGCGGUAAAAUGUCGGGGCUCAACCCCGGCCGGCCGUUGAAACUGGCGUGCUCGAGUUGGAGAGAAGUAUGCGGAAUUCGUGGUGUAGCGGCGAAAUGCAUAGAUAUCACGAAGAACCCCGAUUGCGAAGGCAGCAUACCGGCUCCACACUGACGCUGAGGCACGAAAGCGUGGGUAUCGAACAGG
Molecule: ribosomal RNA, 252 nt
Filed under: uncultured bacterium
Lineage: Bacteria
Description: partial 16S ribosomal RNA
Rfam family: Bacterial small subunit ribosomal RNA
Source: RNAcentral